Physella acuta is the source of this 210-nucleotide long non-coding RNA. RefSeq lists it as uncharacterized. The record is from RefSeq and is a predicted model, not a curated record. Lineage: Eukaryota; Metazoa; Mollusca; Gastropoda; Physidae.
ACGGCCUGGCGCGCUUCUACAGCUACAUGAACCCUGCAGGCUACAUCGCUGAAGGCAUCAAUCAGCUGUGUAUCCCCGAGAUAACUCUCAUGCAGCCCGGUGAUCAUUUAGAUAACGACUGCGAUGGCAAAAUCGACGAGGAGACAGCGAACGAAAGAGAUGAUGAUAACGACAACGUAGUCGAUGAAGAUCUCGUCUUCGGGAAUCAGA